Molecule: transfer RNA, 70 nt
Filed under: Dipodomys ordii (Ord's kangaroo rat)
Lineage: Eukaryota; Metazoa; Chordata; Mammalia; Rodentia; Heteromyidae
Rfam family: tRNA
About the family: Transfer RNA (tRNA) molecules are approximately 80 nucleotides in length. Their secondary structure includes four short double-helical elements and three loops (D, anti-codon, and T loops).
Source: Rfam by way of RNAcentral
GGGAAUGUGGCUUAGUGGUAGAGUGCUUGCCUAGCAUGCAUGAAGCCCUGGGUUCGAUUCCUUAGCACCA